Molecule: transfer RNA, 72 nt
Filed under: Camelus bactrianus (Bactrian camel)
Lineage: Eukaryota; Metazoa; Chordata; Mammalia; Artiodactyla; Camelidae
Also listed under: 2 other names
Rfam family: tRNA
About the family: Transfer RNA (tRNA) molecules are approximately 80 nucleotides in length.
Source: Rfam by way of RNAcentral
GUGGGUAUAACUCAGCGGUACAGUGCAGGCUUGGCAUGCAUAGGGUCCUGAGUUCAACUCCCAGUACCUCCA